RNAcentral lists this ribosomal RNA (410 nucleotides) under uncultured bacterium. RNAcentral describes it as "bacterial SSU rRNA". It matches the Rfam family "Bacterial small subunit ribosomal RNA", at positions 97 to 520 of the family's 1533-position model. The record is from RNAcentral.
GGCGAACGGGUGAGUAACACGUGGGUAAUCUGCCCUGCACUCUGGGAUAAGCCUUGGAAACGAGGUCUAAUACCGGAUAUCACAACUUCUCGCAUGGGGGGUUGUUGAAAGUUCUGGCGGUGCAGGAUGAACCCGCGGCCUAUCAGCUUGUUGGUGGGGUAAUGGCCUACCAAGGCGACGACGGGUAGCCGGCCUGAGAGGGUGACCGGCCACACUGGGACUGAGACACGGCCCGAGACUCCUACGGGAGGCAGCAGUGGGGAAGAUUGCACAAUGGGCGCAAGCCUGAUGCAGCGACGCCGCGUGAGGGAUGACGGCCUUCGGGUUGUAAACCUCUUUCGCCAGGGACGAAGCGCAAGUGACGGUACCUGGAUAAGAAGCACCGGCUAACUACGUGCCAGCAGCCGCGG